This 491-nucleotide ribosomal RNA is filed under the name uncultured bacterium. RNAcentral's name for it is "partial 16S ribosomal RNA". It matches the Rfam family "Bacterial small subunit ribosomal RNA", at positions 29 to 506 of the family's 1533-position model. The record is from RNAcentral.
AGUGAACGCUGGCGGUAGGCCUAACACAUGCAAGUCGAACGGCAGCACAGUAAGAGCUUGCUCUUACGGGUGGCGAGUGGCGGACGGGUGAGGAAUACAUCGGAAUCUACUUUUUCGUGGGGGAUAACGUAGGGAAACUUACGCUAAUACCGCAUACGACCUACGGGUGAAAGCAGGGGAUCUUCGGACCUUGCGCGAUUGAAUGAGCCGAUGUCGGAUUAGCUAGUUGGCGGGGUAAAGGCCCACCAAGGCGACGAUCCGUAGCUGGUCUGAGAGGAUGAUCAGCCACACUGGAACUGAGACACGGUACAGACUCCUACGGGAGGCAGCAGUGGGGAAUAUUGGACAGUGGGCGCAAGCCUGAUCCAGCCAUACCGCGUGGGUGAAGAAGGCCUUCGGGUUGUAAAGCCCUUUUGUUGGGAAAGAAAAGCAGCAGGUUAAUACCCCGCUGUUCUGACGGUACCCAAAGAAUAAGCACCGGCUAACUUCGU